UCAUUAACUGAAUCCAUAGGUUAAUGAGGCGAACCGGGGGAACUGAAACAUCUAAGUACCCCGAGGAAAAGAAAUCAACCGAGAUUCCCCCAGUAGCGGCGAGCGAACGGGGAGCAGCCCAGAGCCUGAAUCAGUGUGUGUGUUAGUGGAAGCGUCUGGAAAGGCGUGCGAUACAGGGUGACAGCCCCGUACACAAAAAUGCACAUACUGUGAGCUCGAUGAGUAGGGCGGGACACGUGGUAUCCUGUCUGAAUAUGGGGGGACCAUCCUCCAAGGCUAAAUACUCCUGACUGACCGAUAGUGAACCAGUACCGUGAGGGAAAGGCGAAAAGAACCCCGGCGAGGGGAGUGAAAAAGAACCUGAAACCGUGUACGUACAAGCAGUGGGAGCACGCUUAGGCGUGUGACUGCGUACCUUUUGUAUAAUGGGUCAGCGACUUAUAUUCUGUAGCAAGGUUAACCGAAUAGGGGAGCCGAAGGGAAACCGAGUCUUAACUGGGCGUUAAGUUGCAGGGUAUAGACCCGAAACCCGGUGAUCUAGCCAUGGGCAGGUUGAAGGUUGGGUAACACUAACUGGAGGACCGAACCGACUAAUGUUGAAAAAUUAGCGGAUGACUUGUGGCUGGGGGUGAAAGGCCAAUCAAACCGGGAGAUAGCUGGUUCUCCCCGAAAGCUAUUUAGGUAGCGCCUCGUGAAUUCAUCUCCGGGGGUAGAGCACUGUUUCGGCAAGGGGGUCAUCCCGACUUACCAACCCGAUGCAAACUGCGAAUACCGGAGAAUGUUAUCACGGGAGACACACGGCGGGUGCUAACGUCCGUCGUGAAGAGGGAAACAACCCAGACCGCCAGCUAAGGUCCCAAAGUCAUGGUUAAGUGGGAAACGAUGUGGGAAGGCCCAGACAGCCAGGAUGUUGGCUUAGAAGCAGCCAUCAUUUAAAGAAAGCGUAAUAGCUCACUGGUCGAGUCGGCCUGCGCGGAAGAUGUAACGGGGCUAAACCAUGCACCGAAGCUGCGGCAGCGACGCUUAUGCGUUGUUGGGUAGGGGAGCGUUCUGUAAGCCUGCGAAGGUGUGCUGUGAGGCAUGCUGGAGGUAUCAGAAGUGCGAAUGCUGACAUAAGUAACGAUAAAGCGGGUGAAAAGCCCGCUCGCCGGAAGACCAAGGGUUCCUGUCCAACGUUAAUCGGGGCAGGGUGAGUCGACCCCUAAGGCGAGGCCGAAAGGCGUAGUCGAUGGGAAACAGGUUAAUAUUCCUGUACUUGGUGUUACUGCGAAGGGGGGACGGAGAAGGCUAUGUUGGCCGGGCGACGGUUGUCCCGGUUUAAGCGUGUAGGCUGGUUUUCCAGGCAAAUCCGGAAAAUCAAGGCUGAGGCGUGAUGACGAGGCACUACGGUGCUGAAGCAACAAAUGCCCUGCUUCCAGGAAAAGCCUCUAAGCAUCAGGUAACAUCAAAUCGUACCCCAAACCGACACAGGUGGUCAGGUAGAGAAUACCAAGGCGCUUGAGAGAACUCGGGUGAAGGAACUAGGCAAAAUGGUGCCGUAACUUCGGGAGAAGGCACGCUGAUAUGUAGGUGAAGUCCCUCGCGGAUGGAGCUGAAAUCAGUCGAAGAUACCAGCUGGCUGCAACUGUUUAUUAAAAACACAGCACUGUGCAAACACGAAAGUGGACGUAUACGGUGUGACGCCUGCCCGGUGCCGGAAGGUUAAUUGAUGGGGUCAGCGCAAGCGAAGCUCUUGAUCGAAGCCCCGGUAAACGGCGGCCGUAACUAUAACGGUCCUAAGGUAGCGAAAUUCCUUGUCGGGUAAGUUCCGACCUGCACGAAUGGCGUAAUGAUGGCCAGGCUGUCUCCACCCGAGACUCAGUGAAAUUGAACUCGCUGUGAAGAUGCAGUGUACCCGCGGCAAGACGGAAAGACCCCGUGAACCUUUACUAUAGCUUGACACUGAACAUUGAGCCUUGAUGUGUAGGAUAGGUGGGAGGCUUUGAAGUGUGGACGCCAGUCUGCAUGGAGCCG
This 2013-nucleotide ribosomal RNA is filed under the name Escherichia coli. RNAcentral's name for it is "partial 23S ribosomal RNA". It matches the Rfam family "Bacterial large subunit ribosomal RNA", at positions 150 to 2188 of the family's 2925-position model. Lineage: Bacteria; Pseudomonadati; Pseudomonadota; Gammaproteobacteria; Enterobacterales; Enterobacteriaceae. The record is from RNAcentral.